Molecule: long non-coding RNA, 248 nt
Filed under: Coffea arabica (coffee)
Lineage: Eukaryota; Viridiplantae; Streptophyta; Magnoliopsida; Gentianales; Rubiaceae
Description: long non-coding RNA (CARA_LNC001300)
Source: RNAcentral
UAAUAAAUUCUUUGGUUAAAACAAGAAAAUCUUUGAUUAAAUCAUGCAACUAGCCUUGGCUAGGUCAAAGGGGUGCCUUGGAUUUUAUCCUUGCCUUCCCCUUUGUCAAAUGUGACUCCCGAACCUUUUUCUUUGGUUUACGUGGACUAGGAGUCGUUUAAAAGGGGUUUCUUACUACUUUUUCCUAUUUUUCUUUAAAAAUUCAUUUUUUGGUGACUUGGUACACCUUAACUCAUUACCAAGUGGCG